UGGGGAAUUUUGGACAAUGGGGGAAACCCUGAUCCAGCCAUCCCGCGUGUGCGAUGAAGGCCUUCGGGUUGUAAAGCACUUUUGGCAGGAAAGAAACGUCGCGGGUUAAUACCCCGCGAAACUGACGGUACCUGCAGAAUAAGCACCGGCUAACUACGUGCCAGCAGCCGCGGUAAUACGUAGGGUGCAAGCGUUAAUCGGAAUUACUGGGCGUAAAGCGUGCGCAGGCGGUUCGGAAAGAAAGAUGUGAAAUCCCAGAGCUUAACUUUGGAACUGCAUUUUUAACUACCGGGCUAGAGUGUGUCAGAGGGAGGUGGAAUUCCGCGUGUAGCAGUGAAAUGCGUAGAUAUGCGGAGGAACACCGAUGGCGAAGGCAGCCUCCUGGGAUAACACUGACGCUCAUGCACGAAAGCGUGGGGAGCAAACAGGAUUAGAUACCCUGGUAGUCCACGCCCUAAACGAUGUCAACUAGCUGUUGGGGCCUUGGGGCCUUGGUAGCGCAGCUAACGCGUGAAGUUGACCGCCUGGGGAGUACGGUCGCAAGAUUAAACUCAAAGGAAUUGACGGGGUCAUAGCUGUUUCCU
RNAcentral lists this ribosomal RNA (584 nucleotides) under uncultured bacterium. RNAcentral describes it as "partial 16S ribosomal RNA". It matches the Rfam family "Bacterial small subunit ribosomal RNA", at positions 355 to 1375 of the family's 1533-position model. The record is from RNAcentral.